Molecule: non-coding RNA, 92 nt
Filed under: human gut metagenome
Description: SAM riboswitch (S box leader)
Rfam family: SAM riboswitch aptamer (S box leader)
About the family: The SAM riboswitch is found upstream of a number of genes which code for proteins involved in methionine or cysteine biosynthesis in Gram-positive bacteria. The SAM riboswitch acts at the level of transcription termination control.
Source: RNAcentral
CUUAUCAAGAGCGGUGGAGGAAUCAGGUCCUGUGAAGCCCGGCAACCUGCGCAAGCAAGGUGCCAAAUCCUGCGGUAUUCCGGAAGAUGAGG